RNAcentral lists this ribosomal RNA (256 nucleotides) under uncultured bacterium. RNAcentral's name for it is "partial 16S ribosomal RNA". It matches the Rfam family "Bacterial small subunit ribosomal RNA", at positions 524 to 776 of the family's 1533-position model. The record is from RNAcentral.
GACGUAGGUGGCGACCGUUAUCCGGAAUUAUUGGGCGUAAAGGGUGCGUAGCUGGCCUGAUAAGUUAGCAGUGGGAAAUCGAGGCUCAACCUCGUGGAAGCUGGUAAUACUGUCAGGCUCGAGUGCAGGAGAGGUUAACGGAACUCCAUGUGGAGCGGUAAAAUGUGUAGAUAUAUGGAAGAACACCAAUAACGGCGAAGGCAGUUAACUAUUCUGUUACUGACAUUGAGGCACGAAAGCGUGGGGAGCAAAACGG